Molecule: RNA transcript, 4172 nt
Organism: Motacilla alba alba
Lineage: Eukaryota; Metazoa; Chordata; Aves; Passeriformes; Motacillidae
Gene name: translation initiation factor IF-2-like
Exons: 4
Source: RefSeq, a predicted model, not a curated record
AAGGACAGUGAAAAAGGUUGAAUGCUUAAGAUAAUAAUACUCUUGAAGGAAGUAGUGUUUGGAAUUCUGCGGGUUUUCCGUUUCUGUCUCUUUUCAGAGCUGCACACAAGUAAUCAGGAAAACUUUUUCAACAUACUAACAAAGAUAAGUGUAUUUCAAUUGGAUGCUGAACAUGGCUCUGAGGAUGAUGAGCAAAAAUCAUGAUUCCACAUGAUAAUGUAGGAAUAUCAGGUAUUUUGCAAGACACCUAGACAGCUUUCACAGCAUAUUUUCACAGCUUGAUGCAUUUAUUACUUCCAUACACUUCUGAAAAGCCUGUUUUCUUCUUUCAAAAUAAUGUGACACUUUUCUGCUCAUAAAUGCUAAACUGUUCUUCCAAACUAACUAGAUUAACAAACCUAAGACCAAUUUCCCAGAGUAUAUUAAAAAAAGAAUGAAUAUGUAAAUUUAAUUAUGAAGGGUUUGUGGACUGUAGGUAUAUUAUAAACUUUCCUCAUGCUGUAGUAAAGCAAUAAUAUAUAAUUUAACUCCAUCUUUACAAGGGUUUCACUGUUCUUCUUGUGUACCUUACUUCACCUUUGAGAAAUACUGGAAAUGCUGCAGAUACACAGUUCCUUGCAAAAGAUAAUUUGGUCCAAGGCUCACAGAAUUACUAUGAAGACUCUCUUUGACAGUAUUAUAGAGCUCCCCUGAGUUAUGGACUGUUAAUUACAGUGCAGCAGGCAGAAAAGUUGAAGGACACAGCAGGUGUUGGGAGCCUGUCCUCUUACUGGGAAUUCCUAUUGGGUAUUAGGGGAAUUGGGGUCAAUUGUCCCCACAGCUCCUGCAUUGCCCUACGUUGCGGCUCUCAGAGAAGUUUAAUUUCAGAAUGUUGCCCCUACAGAAUCACAUCACUAUCUUCAAUUCUAACUACAGACACUGAAGAUAAUAAGAGGGGAAUAUUUCUUAACCACUUCUGUAAAUCGGAAGUAAGUAUGACAACUCCUGGAAGAAUACCUGAUGUAAGUAUGAGAAAAAGCAAUUGUACACAUGCAAACACAGACACAUAAACACACUCCUCCAGCUGUACAGUCAGAUUUUCAAAGCAAGGCCCUUAGCACUUGGUUUACAAAACUCACAAAAAUAUUUUUGAACAAGGUGAGAAAAAUCCAGAGAUCUUUCAAAUACUGAAUGUAUUGAGGAAAACACACAUGUAUAUGUAAGCACAGUUCUGAUUACAGCUUAUAAGUAACUGGGAGGAAUUCCAAAAUAAUAAGUCUCUUCUGAACAAAUUUGAACCGAAAUAGGCACGGCCGAGCUAAAUUCAAUUUAGCAGAAAAGUCAUCUGAAAGAGACCCAGAGAGAAAGUUAAGGAAGGAUUUAUAGCAUCACUUCUCUGCAGGAGGAAAAAAGUGAACAAGGCUUUCCAAAUAAUAACCAGGAGAGGAUGAAAUAAAUAUGACCAAAAUUAUGCCCUAUGGAAAAAUCUCUUCAUCUAAGUAACUUGAUGCAUUUUCUUUGCCAUCUUGCCCACUUAUCCUUAGUAAGAUGGUGUUCAACUCAUUUUUCCUUCAUAAACUUGUUGACAUACAGGGGAUAAAUCCUGCUAUCUUUACAAUGAUGGCCUUGAAAACCUCUCUGAGAGCCGGAUGGCACGCCAGACCUUUCACCCGCAAAAACCUCUCCAAAAGCUGGGUGGCAUUGCCAAACUCUUCCAGCUGCCCCGCUCGCUUGGGCCACCAGAACCUCUACAAAGCCACCUCCACCCCUCUCCGGCCCUACAGCCUCCCUCGGCGGGGCUGCCACCUGCAGACCCGCAGUGGGCAGGGGCCGCGUCCCCACCAAGAGCUGCAGAGGCCAGCUGGGGCACAGCCCGCCGUGGGGACCCGCAGUACGGAGGGCUCACGGCCCCCGGCGCCCGUGCGCUUCUCCACACGGCGGUCCCACCCCGCCGAUCACCGACCUUUGCCACACGGGCCGGCGGGACGCGCGCAGGAGCCGGCCCGGCCAGGAGGGCCCCGGGCCCCCGCUGCCCACCCGGGCGCCCGGGGCGGCGAACGCCGCGUUCCCCUGCGCCCAGCCCCGCUCUCGCCCGACCGCGACACGGCGGGGCUGUUCCCCGCGGCCGCGGCGAUGCCGGGGAAGAAAGAGCAGCCGGCCGCCCUCGCCCGCCUUUCGGAUGAUUCUGAAUGCACAGAGGGAUCCAUCUAACUACUUAGAGCUUCCAGAAUAUUACCAUUUCAGCCACUUAAGAGUCCAUGAAGAAAGCUAGACCAAUAUGACUGCAAAUAGUUUUAUUUCCUAAUUACACAAAAUGGAGAAGACAUCUUGUGGAGAAGACAUCUACUAUCUGGAGUGGAGACUUACCUCUACCUUUCUGAUUUCUGUCAUACCUUCUCACCUGGUGACUCAGAAAUGAACUCUGCUUAAGGCAAAUGACUAAAAGGAAUUUGAACUAGACCUGAUAUAUAUUUCCAAGAUUUUUGAGCUGUGGAUCAGGCAUUAUUGUUCUCAGAUAUGACUUGAUAUUGGAUGUUGCACAGGAUAUAUUGCUCUUUGGCACGCUAAUAUGUACAAGGCAAUUCCAUCUCAGAAGUAGAGCUAUUUCACAGCACCACCAGCAUCUGACCUCUAGGCCCAUGUGAAAAGGCUAGAUCUUUACUGUAGUGGCAAUCACGUCUCUUCAUCUUGAAAAAUUAAGAGGUAAAACUAUGUUGAACAAAUACCACUUUAUUAGCAUAAUAAUAAUUGGUUCCCCAAAUUAAGAUGAUGGUAUUUUCUUGUCAUAUUGGAGUAACAUCAUUUAACCUCCACACUACACAAAGUAUGUAUGUAUUAAUACAAGGUAAUGGUGAACAAAGCCAAAAUGAUAGAAUAAUAUUCUACUGCUGCUCCAGCAACUCUGCAGGAUGCCUCAUUAUGUGAUAUAUGUUACAAGUAGCCACACUAAUACAUAUGUAAUUAUAAAAGCAUUGAUUCUAGCAGACAGUUGCUUUUUACCAGUCUUCACAAAUGACAUAAAUUAAAUUGAAGGACACUGUUCACCCACACUAUAUUUGGAGAUUUAUUUUAAUGAAGACGUAAUGAAGCAGAACGUUUUCUGGAUAGAAGAUAAUGAUAGCAAAUGACAAAAUUAUUUUGGAACUCAAAUCUCUUGGUAGCACAUUGAAAUGGAUGAGUGGAUGAACACUAAUUUAGAAAAUGUUCAGCAAGUUUGAGGUAAUAUGUUAACUUAGAUAGCCAAAGAUCUGAAGAGCAAAGUGGAGAAAGGCAUUCAGAAUUAUUGGCUAUGCAACUCAAAAAUGAAUUAUAGGCAUACGAACUGACCUUCUGGGACAUUUCAAGAGCUUGAAAAUACUCAGUGCCCUUGGCAUCCUUUCUAGGCAGAACUAAACAAUCAUUGUAUUCCAAAUUUGUUCCAAGGAGUUUUAUCACAAGAUUUGGAGCUUUAGCAUGGUCUGUGUCUAUGCCUCAGUUUUUUUAGUUGCCUGCACAUAUUAGAACAAAAACAUGUAAUUGUGAACUAGGAUUCUACUUCAAAAGAAUGUGAAAAAAAUGGAAAAAUACAAUGGUAAUGAACUGUAAAUGGUUCAAGGAAAGAACUCAUCUUUUAAAAUAUUUUAAAAUCUCAUUUUAUGUGAUACCUAGCCUUCUUUUUAGUACUUGAAGGGAGCCUACAAGAAAGAUGGAGACAGACAUUUUACAAGAGCUUGUAGUGACAGGACAAGGCGGGAUGGCUUCAAACCUCAAGAGAGUAGGUUUUUAUUAGACAUUAGGGUUCUUCACCUUCACCACCCAUUAGGGUGGGAAGACACUGAAAUAGGUCAUCUAGAGAAACAGUUGAUGCCCCAUCCCUUAAAGUGUUCAAGUCCAGGCUGGAUGGAGUUCUGAGUGACCUGGUCCACUGGAAAGUUUCCCUGUCCACAGCAGGGGAAUUGGAAUUAGAAGAUCUUUAAGCUUCCUGCUAAGCAAAACCGUUCUAUGAUUCUAAAUCUAAUAUCUUUAACCAUUUGCCCUUGUCCUUUCAUGUCAUGCCCUUGUAAAAAGUCCUUCUCUGCCUUUUUUGUAGAGACCUUUUAGAUGCUGUAAAGCUGCUAGAACGUUUUCCUUGAGCCUUUUCCAGGCUGGAAAACUUGAACUGUCUCAGCAUGCCUCAGCAUGUCUUCAUAAAAGAGGUGCUUAAAUCCCCUAGU